UAGUCGGGUCGUACGAAGAGCUUGAUGAGGACGGCAUGGGCGUGCUAGAAUCGUCCUAUGAUCUUCAACAGCGUGGUGUGAACGUGGCAUAGUCGUAGUGGAAGCGUAGUUGGGUCGCAGUGAGAACGUGAUGGUCGUAAUGAGGUCGUAUUAACAUCGCUGUGAAAUCGUAGCGCAGUCUCUCCGAAUCGAAUCACGCUUUCACUACGCUCUCGCUACGAUGGUACAGCGACCUUUGCGAUCUUAGCACGACCUUUUUACGCUCUCACUACGAAUCUACUACGACCUUAUUUUGCCACGACCGCACCACGAUUGUUUUGAACAUGUUCAGAGUUGGCCACGCUCAUCAUGCUCUUGAAGACCUCACCUCGACCGUGAUACAACCUUACUACGAUCUACAAGAUCGUCAAAAUUUGCAUUUUUUCACAGAUCGUAGUGCGAUCGUGGCCUGGUGGGACUGCGGUACAAAACUAAUUUUAGCCUUUUCACUGACGUAAAUAGUAAAAUAACAAAAAUACCGAACUCCGGAAAAAUUCAAAACGGAAAUGCCCUAGUCUUAAUAUGCAACGCCGUAUCUGAAACAUUAUCCUGUUGCCUUUAAUUUCAAAUUAUAAUUAUUGUUAGUGUAUACACAAAUCUCAGACUAAAAACAUCUAUAAACACUGCAUUCUCAUAUUUCCUCAUGAAAAGCUACUAGAUAAACCUCUAUGCAACCACAUGAAUGUAUCACUGUGGCUUUUAUCUCCUCUGCACCAUGAUUCGAUUUUUUUCCUAUGAAAAUCAUUGUAAUAACCCUUUACAUAUCAUUGCCUAACUGUUGUGUUCACUAAUUAUGAUGUCUGCGAAGUUCAUAAUUAUAUAGUGUAAGAUGUUUUGAUUAUAUAUUAAACGAUAACAAAAACUAUUUAGUACAUUUACCAAUCAAAUUCGUUUUUGAAUUUAUUAUACUUUUUGUAU
This 957-nucleotide long non-coding RNA is filed under the name Mytilus galloprovincialis (Mediterranean mussel). The record is from RNAcentral. Lineage: Eukaryota; Metazoa; Mollusca; Bivalvia; Mytilida; Mytilidae.